GCGGGCUUUACGCAAUUGAUCGG
RNAcentral lists this non-coding RNA (23 nucleotides) under Arabidopsis thaliana (thale cress). The record is from RNAcentral. Lineage: Eukaryota; Viridiplantae; Streptophyta; Magnoliopsida; Brassicales; Brassicaceae.